GACGAACGCUGGCGGCGUGCUUAACACAUGCAAGUCGAACGGAAAGGCCCUGCUUUUGUGGGGUGCUCGAGUGGCGAACGGGUGAGUAACACGUGAGUAACCUGCCCUUGACUUUGGGAUAACUUCAGGAAACUGGGGCUAAUACCGGAUAGGAGCUCCUGCUGCAUGGUGGGGGUUGGAAAGUUUCUGCGGUUGGGGAUGGACUGGCGGCUUAUCAGCUUGUUGGGGGGGUAGUGGCUUACCAAGGCUUUGACGGGUAGCCGGCAUGAGAGGGGGAACGGCGACAAGGGGACUGAGGGACGGCCCAGACGGCAAUGGGGGGCAACGGGGGGGACUAUGGCCCAAUGGGCGGAAGCCUGAGGCAGCGACGCCGCGUUUGGGAUGACCGCCUUGGGGGUAUGAACCGCUUUGGCCUGUGACGAAGCGUGAGUGACGGUAAUGGGUAAAGAAGCACCGGCUAACUACGUG
RNAcentral lists this ribosomal RNA (468 nucleotides) under uncultured bacterium. RNAcentral describes it as "partial 16S ribosomal RNA". It matches the Rfam family "Bacterial small subunit ribosomal RNA", at positions 28 to 507 of the family's 1533-position model. The record is from RNAcentral.